GUACCAGCCGCGGCGGUAAUACCGGCAGCCCGAGUGAUGGCCGAUCUUAUUGGGCCUAAAGCGUCCGUAGCUGGCUGCGCAAGUCCGUCGGGAAAUCCACCUGCCCAACAGGUGGGCGUCCGACGGAAACUGUGUGGCUUGGAACCGGAAGGCUCAGAGGGUACGUCCGGGGUAGGAGUGAAAUCCCGUAAUCCCGGACGGACCACCGAUGGCGAAAGCACUCUGAGAAGACGGCUUCGACAGUGAGGGACGAAAGCUAGGGUCUCAAACCGGAUUAGAAACCCGUGUAGUCC
This 293-nucleotide ribosomal RNA is filed under the name uncultured bacterium. RNAcentral's name for it is "partial 16S ribosomal RNA". It matches the Rfam family "Archaeal small subunit ribosomal RNA", at positions 455 to 747 of the family's 1478-position model. The record is from RNAcentral.